Molecule: unclassified non-coding RNA, 304 nt
Filed under: Hevea brasiliensis (rubber tree)
Lineage: Eukaryota; Viridiplantae; Streptophyta; Magnoliopsida; Malpighiales; Euphorbiaceae
Source: RNAcentral
ACGAUCUUAAGGUGAGUUUGAUUUUUAACUAAAUGGUUGCUUAUCAGAGUUGUAGUAAGUUGACCUUAUCUUUUGCUGAAAGAAAGAUGCAUGGCUUCUAGUAUACCAUCUAAAAAACCCUUUAAUUCAUCAUAUUUUCAAAUAUUAUAUACUUUGCAUAAAAUUACAAGAUUUGUGUUCAUCUCCAUAAUCGUAAUCUUGACUGCAGGAUUAAGAUGGUCUUUUCGUACUUAUCGUACUUGAGUUUAUCUCAUAAUUUUACAUUGAAUCAUAAAUUCAGUAUGUAUUAGAAGCAAAAUGUUGG